UUUGAGAGAAACCCUUCUGAUAAAAACAGGAGAUUUCGGGGUUUGGGUGGUUUAAGAGGGAAACAUGUGUCCCAUAAUGUCUGUUUGUGUUCAUGUUUGCGGGUUCUUCUUCUAUGAUUCGGCAUUCUAAGGAAAUUCUUGAGAUGGAUUUUGGGUUUGAGUACCGGCGGGAAAAAAUGGGGGGUAUUAGUGGAGGCUUGGGUUUGAAAGUAGAGAGUUUUCUGCAGCACAUAGCCAGGUUUAACUACUUGUUUUGCCCCGGAGAGAGGCUGAGAAAAAGCAGUGUAUGCUCGUACGAGCUCCUACAACCUUGAUGGUAACAUUCACCAUAAUAUACUAACGAUAUUUUCUAUAUUGAUACAGAGUCAUCCAUUUACCAUAAAAGUUAGAUCUUAGUAAAAC
Molecule: long non-coding RNA, 402 nt
Filed under: Populus tremula
Lineage: Eukaryota; Viridiplantae; Streptophyta; Magnoliopsida; Malpighiales; Salicaceae
Description: long non-coding RNA (PTRE_LNC002670)
Source: RNAcentral